AAAGAUAUAAAACUAUUAAUUUAGAUAGAGGAGUUAUUUAUGCAUGAUAAUCUAGGCUUAAUGCAAAAAAAUCAGAGAGAAGAUUACAUCAAAGUCGACUAUUUAGAUCUUAACAUCAGAAUCGAGAAUGGGGAAUAUAGAACAAAAGUUUUUUUAGGAAAAUUACAUACAAAUCUUUGUUUAUUCCCAAUACAGAGCAAGACCCAUGGGAAUACAGAAUGGCAUCAUUCCGUAUGUUGUUGAAUAGGGUGGAGACUCACUGUAAUAAUAUUGAAGAUACCGUAAAUCCACAGAAUUAGAAUGAUAUUACAGCAGGCAUUAAAACAUGCUUAUACUAGGAAGAGUAUCCUUAAACUCUGAGAAACAAUACAAAAUAAAAAGAAAUGCAAGUCAGAACAAGGAUGAAUUUAAGGAGACAUUGCAAAGUCACAAAUUCUAUCGAUUCUAAUAUCAAUAAUAAUUACUUAAACCUAACGGUUAAACGACUCUG
This 490-nucleotide long non-coding RNA is filed under the name Androctonus crassicauda. Lineage: Eukaryota; Metazoa; Arthropoda; Arachnida; Scorpiones; Buthidae. The record is from RNAcentral.